CCUACGGGCGGCAGCAGUGGGGAAUAUUGGACAAUGGGGGGAACCCUGAUCCAGCCAUGCCGCGUGUGUGAAGAAGGCCCUCGGGUUGUAAAGCACUUUCAGUGAGGAAGAACGCCUGGUGGUUAAUACCCAUCAGGAAAGACAUCACUCACAGAAGAAGCACCGGCUAACUCCGUGCCAGCAGCCGCGGUAAUACGGAGGGUGCGAGUGUUAAUCGGAAUUACUGGGCGUAAAGCGCGCGUAGGUGGCUUGAUAAGCCGGUUGUGAAAGCCCCGGGCUCAACCUGGGAACGGCAUCCGGAACUGUCAAGCUAGAGUGCAGGAGAGGAAGGUAGAAUUCCCGGUGUAGCGGUGAAAUGCGUAGAGAUCGGGAGGAAUACCAGUGGCGAAGGCGGCCUUCUGGACUGACACUGACACUGAGGUGCGAAAGCGUGGGUAGCAAACAGGAUUAGAUACCCCGGUAGUC
This 465-nucleotide ribosomal RNA is filed under the name Vreelandella stevensii. RNAcentral describes it as "partial 16S ribosomal RNA". It matches the Rfam family "Bacterial small subunit ribosomal RNA", at positions 338 to 795 of the family's 1533-position model. The record is from RNAcentral. Lineage: Bacteria; Pseudomonadati; Pseudomonadota; Gammaproteobacteria; Oceanospirillales; Halomonadaceae.